GUUCUCAAAUUUGAAGAUGAACCUUAACAGAAAACUUACUCUGUCCUGUGGCUUCAGGAUUCAAUGCAUGUUGUGGUAUAGUUAUUGGAUCAACAAGGAAUAUGAAGUAACGUUAUCAGCUAUCCAGUAUACAUCUGAAUUGAGGUCAUAAUUAGAGAAUAAAAUGAAAUGAGACAAAAAUGAAAGAAGAUAAAAACAAUUCAAAAUUGACCUUCACCCAGAAAAGUCCUUCCUGUUUUCAGUCAUCAGUGUUAAUAGUCAGUGAUGGUGUCUGUGUGCAAUUAAAACAUCUGGAUGAAAAAUGUUUCCAGUUCUCUGACACAGCACACCACACAAUGGGACAAUUGGAAACAUCUGGACACAGAAGAAUGGAGCUAUAAGGAUGUUAAAUCUCAAUGGAGAGCUUGAGGAACUCUGGUGACACC
Molecule: long non-coding RNA, 425 nt
Filed under: Cricetulus griseus (Chinese hamster)
Lineage: Eukaryota; Metazoa; Chordata; Mammalia; Rodentia; Cricetidae
Description: lncRNA (ENSCGRG00015030403.1)
Source: RNAcentral